AAAGCGUGCGCAGGCGGUUGUGUAAGUCAGAUGUGAAAUCCCCGGGCUCAACCUGGGAAUUGCAUUUGAGACUGCACGGCUAGAGUGUGUCAGAGGGGGGUAGAAUUCCACGUGUAGCAGUGAAAUGCGUAGAUAUGUGGAGGAAUACCGAUGGCGAAGGCAGCCCCCUGGGAUAACACUGACGCUCAUGCACGAAAGCGUGGGGAGCAAACAGGAUUAGAUACCCGUGU
RNAcentral lists this ribosomal RNA (230 nucleotides) under uncultured bacterium. RNAcentral describes it as "partial 16S ribosomal RNA". It matches the Rfam family "Bacterial small subunit ribosomal RNA", at positions 562 to 791 of the family's 1533-position model. The record is from RNAcentral.